Molecule: ribosomal RNA, 358 nt
Filed under: uncultured bacterium
Lineage: Bacteria
Description: bacterial SSU rRNA
Rfam family: Bacterial small subunit ribosomal RNA
Source: RNAcentral
AACGAACGCCGGCGGCACGCCUAACACAUGCAAGUCGCACGAGAAAGUCCCCGCAAGGGGACCGGUAAAGUGGCAGACGGGUGAGUAACGCGUGGGUAACCUACCCUCGAGUGGGGGAUAACCCCGCGAAAGCGGGGCUAAUACCGCAUAACAUCCCGGAACGCGAGUUUCGGGAUCGAAGGUGGCUCGCAAGAGCUACCGCUCGGGGAGGGGCUCACGUUCCAUCAGCUAGUUGGUGGGGUAACGGCCUACCAAGGCGGNGACGGAUAGCUGGUCUGAGAGGACGACCAGCCACACUGGCACUGAGACACGGGCCAGACUCCUACGGGAGGCAGCAGUGAGGAAUCUUGCGCAAUGG